CUGCUUUCAUUGUUCUGUGUGAUUUCUACAUUAUUAUUGAUAUAAUGGGUUUGAUGUAGUUUGGAUUUAGGAUGAGCUGUGUGGUUUGUAUAAGCUUCGUGAAUGAAUACAUCUGAAUUGUAAAGAAAAGACGUGAACUUCAAGAUUAUUAGAUUAAUGUUAAUGAUGUUGGUACAUUAUUCUAUUCCAGAUAAGAUGGGAGGUUUUCUUUUUCUUUUAAAAAAAGAUUGAAUUAAAUUUGUGUGUAGAAAAAAAGUAAAAAAGUAAAAAAUAAUUAAAUGCUUAUACAAGAAUUUCAUAUUUUUAGAAUAUACAAAAAUCUAUUGAAUGGUUUAAAAUAACUUUGAAAUAAAUAUUUGUGCUUUUUGACUUUCAU
Molecule: long non-coding RNA, 376 nt
Filed under: Physcomitrium patens
Lineage: Eukaryota; Viridiplantae; Streptophyta; Bryopsida; Funariales; Funariaceae
Description: long non-coding RNA (PPAT_LNC000156)
Source: RNAcentral